This 378-nucleotide ribosomal RNA is filed under the name uncultured eukaryote. RNAcentral's name for it is "partial 18S ribosomal RNA". It matches the Rfam family "Eukaryotic small subunit ribosomal RNA", at positions 592 to 976 of the family's 1831-position model. The record is from RNAcentral.
CAAUAGCGUAUAUUUAAGUUGCUGCAGUUAAAAAGCUCGUAGUUGGAUUUCGGGUGGGAAUGGCCGGUCCGCCGUUUCGGUGUGCACUUGCUACGCCCACCUUGCUGCCGGGGACGUGCUCUUGAGUUCACGCUCGGGACACGGAGUCGGCGAGGUUACUUUGAGUAAAUUAGAGUGUUCAAAGCAGGCCUACGCUCUGAAUACAUUAGCAUGGAAUAACACGAUAGGACUCUGGCCUAUCUUGUUGGUCUGUAGGACCGGAGUAAUGAUUAAGAGGGACAGUCGGGGGGCAUUCGUAUUUCAUUGUCAGAGGUGAAAUUCUUGGAUUUAUGAAAGACGAACUACUGCGAAAGCAUUUGCCAAGGAUGUUUUCAUUAA